AGCCUGAGAUGUGAUGAUGACCGCAUUGGCGGGAAGUGGGUGAUCCUAUGCUGUCGAGAAAAGCAUCUAGCGAGGUUCGAGCCGCCCGUACCCUAAACCGACUCAGGUGGUCAGGUAGAGAAUACUAAGGCGAUCGAGUGAAUCGUGGUUAAGGAACUCGGCAAAAUGCCCCCGUAACUUCGGGAGAAGGGGGCCUGAGGCGUGACCUGUCCUUGCGACGGUGAGCGUUUGAGGGCCGCAGAGACCAGGGAGAAGCGACUGUUUACUAAAAACACAGGUCCGUGCGAAGUCGCAAGACGAUGUAUACGGACUGACGCCUGCCCGGUGCUGGAACGUUAAGGGGACCGGUUAGCCUUUCGGGGCGAAGCUGAGAACUUAAGCGCCAGUAAACGGCGGUGGUAACUAUAACCAUCCUAAGGUAGCGAAAUUCCUUGUCGGGUAAGUUCCGACCUGCACGAAUGGCGUAACGACUUCUCCGCUGUCUCAACCGCGAACUCGGCGAAAUUGCACUACGAGUAAAGAUGCUCGUUACGCGCAGCAGGACGGAAAGACCCCGGGACCUUUACUAUAGCUUGGUAUUGGUGUUCGGUACGGCUUGUGUAGGAUAGGUGGGAGACUGUGAAGCUGGCACGCUAGUGUUGGUGGAGUCAAUCUUGAAAUACCACUCUGGUCGUUCUGGAUGUCUAACCUCGGUCCGUGAUCCGGAUCAGGGACAGUGCCUGGUGGGUAGUUUAACUGGGGCGGUUGCCUCCCAAAGAGUAACGGAGGCGCCCAAAGGUUCCCUCAGCCUGGUUGGCAAUCAGGUGUCGAGUGUAAGUGCACAAGGGAGCUUGACUGUGAGACCGACAGGUCGAGCAGGGACGAAAGUCGGGACUAGUGAUCCGGCAGUGGCUUGUGGAAGCGCUGUCGCUCAACGGAUAAAAGGUACCCCGGGGAUAACAGGCUGAUCUUGCCCAAGAGUCCAUAUCGACGGCAUGGUUUGGCACCUCGAUGUCGGCUCGUCGCAUCCUGGGGCUGGAGUAGGUCCCAAGGGUUGGGCUGUUCGCCCAUUAAAGCGGUACGCGAGCUGGGUUUAGAACGUCGUGAGACAGUUCGGUCCCUAUCCGCUGCGCGCGUUGGAAACUUGAGAAGGGCUGUCCCUAGUACGAGAGGACCGGGACGGACGAACCUCUGGUGUGCCAGUUGUCCUGCCAAGGGCACCGCUGGUUAGCUACGUUCGGAAGGGAUAACCGCUGAAGGCAUCUAAGCGGGAAGCUCGCUUCAAGAUGAGGUUUCCAUACAUCCUUGAGGUGUGGGAGGCUCCCAGCUAGACGACUGGUUGAUAGGCCGGAUGUGGAAGCAAGGACUAACGACUUGUGAAGCUGACCGGUACUAAUAUGCCGAUGACUUACAACA
Molecule: ribosomal RNA, 1395 nt
Filed under: Kineosporia rhizophila JCM 9960
Lineage: Bacteria; Bacillati; Actinomycetota; Actinomycetes; Kineosporiales; Kineosporiaceae
Description: bacterial LSU rRNA
Rfam family: Bacterial large subunit ribosomal RNA
Source: RNAcentral